This is a long non-coding RNA of Sebastes umbrosus (honeycomb rockfish), 321 nucleotides long. RefSeq lists it as uncharacterized. The transcript has 4 exons. Lineage: Eukaryota; Metazoa; Chordata; Actinopteri; Perciformes; Sebastidae. The record is from RefSeq and is a predicted model, not a curated record.
GGUGUGUUACCUGUCAUGAGGAAGAGGAGUCAGGUGUGUUACCUGUCAUGAUGAAGAGGAGUCUCUAUCUCUCAGGUGUGUUACCUGUCCUGAUGAAGAGGAGUCAGGUGUGUUACCUGUCAUGAGGAAGAGGAGUCUCUAUCUCUCAGGUGUGUUACCUGUCAUGAUGAAGAGGAGUCAGGUGUGUUACCAGUCAUGAUGAAGAGGAGUCUCUAUCUCUCAGGUGUGUUACCUGUCAUGAUGAAGAGGAGUCAGGUGUGUUACCUGUCAUGUGGAAGAGGAGUCUCUAUCUCUCAGGUGUGUUACGUGUCAUGAGGAAGA